GCCAUCCUUGUCUGUGGGAGCAAAUGUCCAAGGAUCGUUUAGUGAGGGCAUUGCUGCUAACACAAAAUUAAUUCCACCGCACCCUGAUAGAUUUCAGAGUGCAAUUUUUGGAGCC
Nilaparvata lugens (brown planthopper) is the source of this 115-nucleotide small nuclear RNA. RefSeq annotates it as U4atac minor spliceosomal RNA. The record is from RefSeq and is a predicted model, not a curated record. The transcript has a single exon. NCBI's taxonomy places the organism in Eukaryota, Metazoa, Arthropoda, Insecta, Hemiptera, Delphacidae.